This 695-nucleotide ribosomal RNA is filed under the name uncultured Bacillota bacterium. Its description in RNAcentral is "bacterial SSU rRNA". It matches the Rfam family "Bacterial small subunit ribosomal RNA", at positions 61 to 749 of the family's 1533-position model. The record is from RNAcentral. Lineage: Bacteria; Bacillati; Bacillota.
GUCGAGUGCACAGUCUGCUGUAGCAAUACAGCAGAUCGGCGCACGGCGCACGGGUGCGUAACACGUGGGUAACCUGCCCUCCAAAGGGGGAUAACCCGCCGAAAGGCGGGCUAAUACCGCAUGACAUUCCGGUGGCUUCGGCCGCUGGAAUCAAAGCCCGCAAGGGCGUUGGGGGAGGGGCCCGCGGCCGAUUAGCUUGUUGGCGAGGUAACGGCUCACCAAGGCUUUGAUCGGUAGCCGGUCUGAGAGGAUGGCCGGCCACACUGGAACUGAGACACGGUCCAGACUCCUACGGGAGGCAGCAGUGGGGAAUCUUGCGCAAUGGGCGAAAGCCUGACGCAGCGACGCCGCGUGGGGGAUGAAGCUUCUCGGAGUGUAAACCCCUUUCGACCCGGACGAAACGCCCGCAAGGGUUUGACGGUACGGGUAUAAGAAGCCCCGGCUAACUACGUGCCAGCAGCCGCGGUAAGACGUAGGGGGCCAGCGUUGCUCGGAAUUACUGGGCGUAAAGGGUUCGUAGGCGGUGUGGUAAGUCGGAAGUGAAAUCUCUGGGCUUAACUCAGAGGCUGCUUUCGAAACUGCCGCGCUAGAGUGCGGGAGAGGCGAGUGGAAUUACAGGUGUAGCGGUGAAAUGCGUAGAUAUCUGUAGGAACACCCGUGGCGAAGGCGGCUCGCUGGACCGCAACUGACGCUGA